Molecule: long non-coding RNA, 8657 nt
Filed under: Panax ginseng (ginseng)
Lineage: Eukaryota; Viridiplantae; Streptophyta; Magnoliopsida; Apiales; Araliaceae
Description: long non-coding RNA (PGIN_LNC004736)
Source: RNAcentral
UGCCUUGACGGGUUAGUAGGUUAUAAAAACAAAAUAUUAUGUAGGGAUUCUUAUUUAUGCUUUACACUAGUUUUCUUUCUUUUUCAGAUUGCGCAUCUCGUACAUAUGUUCUCUCUCAAACUCAACUUUCCUCCAUUUCCAACUCAGGGCUUCACCACCAGACUCGUUCACACUCUCAAGUAUGGUUUUUUCUCUUUUUACUUUUUGAAUCUUUCCAUCAUUUUCAUAUUUAUUUCUUGAAUAAGGGAUUGUUUGAUCAAUAUAAUAUUUUAUGUGCAAAUAUAUAUUUUGUCGAUAUUUUCUCCUCUUGCUCUCUAAUUAAUUUUAGAAUUUCAAGUCAUUUGCAUCUAAUUUUUGUAGUUUAAAUUUUGAUUUAACAUCCUCGAUUUCUAUACUGUUCAUGAGAUCUUGAAAAUUUAUUACACGGAUAAGUUUUAUAUUUGUAAUCUCUCCUGGUUUCUCAAUCUAAAAUUCAAAUUAAUACAACUAAGAAAGUUGUCUCGCUAAGCCUACCAAAACAAUAAAGUUAAUUAUGGUCAUUUCUCAUUAAUUAAAUUGAGAAUUGAUUACCUUUGUUUUGCGGGUUAAUUAAUUCCCAUUCAAUUGAUCCAAGUCAAUCUAAUAGACCAUUUGAUAGACUCCAUGACACGCUUGCGUGAGGUGAUCGUCGCCCCGAUCGUUUCUAGUAAAGUUGUAGGAUGGAUUGCUUGCAACACCUUAACCCCUCGUCUAUAUGUAGACGGUAAUCUUGGUACAAUUGUUCGCGUUCGGAAAUAUGCGUUGAAUGGACACCAACGACACCUUGACCACUCGCUUAUAUUGAAGCGAUAAUCUCGGUAUAAUCGACGAUUGAUGCGAUAGAAGACGCCACACACAACUAUGAAUUUUUGUAUGAUAAGUCAAAUUAAAUCUCAAAGAAAUAACUAAGAAUUACUUAGGAAUUCUUCAAAGAAUCAAAAAUAGAGAAUAACCUUACAAAUAUAUUGAAUAAUGAAUAAUGUGUUUUUGAUUACAUCAACUUGGACCUCUAUUUAUACUAUUCAAAAUAAUACAAAUCCUAAUAACAAUAGGAACAAAUUAUUCUAAUCCUAAUAGGAAUUACAAACCAUAACCCUAAUUUCUACAAGGAAGUAGAAAUCAAUUUGGAAAAGAAAUUCCUAUUUCUAUAAAACAAUAGAAACCUUAUUUAGAAAGUCAAUCUAAAUUGAAAAGAAAUCAUAAUUAUAAUAGAAUUUGAUAAGUAUCUGGAAAACAAAUCCCUAAUAGAAUCUGCCUAAUAUUUUAGGAAACAAAAAUCUUUUUCCUAAAAUCCCAAAAUAAAUCCUUGGCACGUUAGGAUCUUUUGUCGCGUGAAACUUGUUUCUUUCCUUUGCAUGUAAUCUGAUUAUGUAAAGUUGUAAGGACCCACAUAAUACUGGCUACAUAUGAAUAACUUGCUGAAAUUAAUAUGAUAGUUUCAUGUUGGCGUUGGUACUAACUCAUAUUUGUACUCUUUGAACUUGUUAAUCAUGUCAAUAUGUUUUGGAUACUUUAUUCGUUUGUAUCAUCCUUUGUAUAUUUUCGUUCACAUUCGAGAGUUGUUUUGAUCGUUGAUAUCUUGUGAUAAUUGGGUAUUUUGGUAUUUGAUAAUUCGAUGUCGUUUGGAGUAUGUUCAUGUAAGCGUUGUGAUUUGAACCCCUUUUGGCUUACAUUCUAUAGAUUGGUCUUUAGGGUAUACUUGAGCUAACCACAUGUGGGGGUACCACAGGCAUGUCGUCUUGGCACGAGAGGCAUGACACUUUCCGUGGUAGUGUGAUUAGUCAACGACGUCUCCAUUUGGGCUCCGGAGGAAGUGGGCCAUUUGAUGUUUAGUUGUGGGAGGCGUAUGGGUUGACCCUAGUUUUUUUGUUCUGCGGAUAAAUGACAUUCAUCUGCCAGAUUUCGUAAUCAUAAAAGGCUACAAUAGCAAGCAAGAUCCUGAUGGAUUUAACCAUUGCCACAGGAGAUAGGGUUUAUCAUAGUCAACACCUUGAACUUAUUUGAAACAUUUUGCUACCAGUCGGCCUUUAUAGGUUUGUACAUUACCAUCCAUGUCGGUUUUCUUCUUGAAAAUCCACUUGCACCCGAUUGGUUUUGCCCCUUCGGGUGGAUCAACCAAAGUCCAUACUUGGUUAGUAUACAUGGAGUCCAUCUCAGAUUUCAUGGCUUCAAGCCAUCUCUCAGAAUCUGGUUCAUUCAUAGCUUCUUGGUAUGAAGCAGGCUCAUCCUGAUCUAUGAGCAUCACAUCGCCGUUUUGAGUCACAAGAAAUCCAUAAUAUCUCUCAGGCUCUUGGCGUAUCCUACCAGAUCUACGAAUGCCUCAUGUAAUUUAAGCAGGUUCACUUUCCACAAUAUCUUGUGGUUCCUGCUCACGUUUUAACUUAGGUUCAAUGAUAUUUUGUGGUUCUCGAAUUUCUUCGAGUUCUACUUUCCUCCCACUAUUUCCUUUAGAGACAAAUUCUCUUUCUAGAAAAAUACCAGUUCGAGCAAUGAACACUUUGUUCUCAGAAGGUUUGUAGAAAUAAUACCCUUUUGUUUCCUUUGGGUAUCCCACAAAAUUACAUUUGUCAUAUUUUGGUCCGAGCUUGUCAGAAGCCAAACGCUUUACAAACGUAUCGCAACCCCAAAUCUUCAUGAACGACAUACUAGGAUGUUUCCCAGACCACAUCUCAUAUGGUGUCUUCUGAACCCUCUUUGUAGGAACACAGUUAAGUAUGAAUGCAGAUGUCUCUAGGACAUGACCCCAAAAGCUUAUUAGAAGAUUUGUAUGACUCAUCAUUGAUUGUACCAUGUCCAACAAGGUGCGAUUCCUCCUCUCAGACACACCAUUCCAUUGUGGUGUUCCAGGUGGAAUGAGUUGUGAUAUAAUACCACACUCCUUUAGAAGGUCAUCAAAGUCUUGGCUUAAGUAUUCACCUCCUCGAUCGAAUCGAAGGACUUUUAUGCUUUUGUCAAAUUGGUUUUGAACUUCAUUCUUGAAUUCCUUGAACUUUUCAAAGGAUUCAGAUUUGUGUCUCAUAAGAUACACAUAUCCAUAUCUACUGAAGUCCUCAGUAAAUGUAAUGAAGUAAUAAAGCCCACCUCUUACUAACGAACUCAUGGGUCCACAUACAUCACUAUGUAUAAGUCCCAAUACAUCGCUAGCCCGUUCAAUGUGUCCAGUGAAAGGGACUUUAGUUAUCUUGCCUAAUAAACAAGACUCGCAUUUCUCAUAUGAUUUAAAAUCAAAUGAAUCUAAAAACCCAUCUUUAUGGAGUUUGGAUAUGCGUUUCUCAUUUAUAUGGCCUAAACGACAGUGCCAAAGAUAUGUCGAAUUUGAAUCAUUUGAUUUAAAUCGUUUUGUAUUUAUGUUAUAGAUAGACAUUUCUAAAUCAAGAAUAUAAAGAUCAUUAAACAAUUGUGCAACACUAUAACAUAUUUCAUUUAAGUAAAACGAACAACUGUUGUUCUUUAUUAAAAAUAAAAAACCUUUCUUGUCCAAACAAGAAACAGAAAUAAUAUUUUUACUCAUAUCAGACACAUAAUAACAAUCCUCUAAUUUUAAUAUUAGCCCAGUGGGCAAAGAUAAAUGAUAAGUUCAUAUAGCUAGUACAACAACUUUUGCUCCAUUCCCAACUCGUAGGUCAACCUCUCCUUUCGCCAAAGUCCAACUCCUUCGAAGUUCCUGCAUAUUAACACAAAUAUGAGAACCACAUCCAAUAUCCAAUACUCAUGAUGUAGAAGUGGACAAAUUGACUUCUAUAACAUAUAAACCUGGAUCAGAAGUCACACUUCCUUUCUUUUUCUUCAGUUCUUCCAAAUAAGCAUGACAAUUCCUCUUCCAGUGUCCAGGUUUUCCACAAAAGUGACAAUAACCUUCUUUAGCCACCCUGCCUUUAGGUUUUAAAGCCUGUUUGAUUUUGGAAUUGGGUUUGGCACCAGAUUUAGAUCUUAUCUUCUUCUUUUCUUUCCCCUUUCCCUUAGCAUUCCCUUUUUGCACCAUCAUUAUUGGAGCGGGUCCUGCCUUUUUCAUGUUGUUCUCGGCAGUUCUCAACAUGCUCAACAACCCAGUAAGUGGUUUCUCAAUUUCAUUCAUGAGGUAAUUCAUAACAAAUUGAGAGUAGCUGAUGUUCAAAAAUUGCAAAACAAGAUCAGUUUGGGCUUUCGUAGUAAUCGGAAAACCCAACCUAUCAAGGUACUCAAUAUAUCCAAUCAUUUUUUGCACAUAUGGACCAACUGGAUCACGUUCACCCAUCUUGCAGUGAUACAACUAUUUGCUUGUAUCAUACCUCUCCUGUCGAGUAUGCCCUUCGAACAAUUUCUUGAGAUGCUCGAUCAUCUCAUAAGCAUCCAUUAACUCAUAUUACUUCUGAAGCUCUGAGUUCAUAGUUGCUAGCAUGAGACAACUCACGUCCAGAGCAUCAUCUUGAUGCUUCUUGUAAGCAUUAUGCUCUACAUGUGGUGCAGUGUUAGCUGGUGUUGCAGGAAUGGAGCCAUCAAGGACAUAUAGUUUGCGCUCUUGUUUGAGGACAAUCCUCAAGUUCCUAUGUCAGUCUAGGAAAUUAAUUCCACUCAGUUUUUCCUUCUCAAGGAUUGAUCGUAGUGAAAGACUAUUUGUGUUGUUAUUUACCACUGAUAUCUACAAUUUAUAAGUGCAAAAAUAAUAAGUCAAAUUGCAUAGUUUUUGAUAUUAUGUAAUUGAUAAUAGUACAUUCAAAAUAUACCUCCCACUAUUUUAUUCAAAUUAAUAGCCCUCACCAUUAAUUCAGAAAGUAUUUUCUAUUAAAUCUUUCUAGUAAGCCAAGAUCCAUAUUUCAUUAUGCCUUAAGUUAAAUUUGGCUAAUCUCUCAAAAUACAAUUAUUUAGGUAGACAACCCCUUGUCAAUUAUAUCAUAUAUAAUUUUUUAAAAUUCAUUGUUCUUUGUUGUGCUAUUAUAUAAUUUGAAAAUGAAAAACUUGCUUUAUCUCAAGUAUGAGCAGCCUCAAAUUUUUUGUUUUGCUCAAACUACGAAAUUAAAUAGGUUGAAUGACACUUAUGUCCCUCUAAGUUGUCAUUGAGUAUCAAAGUCGUCUUUAUAUCUCAUUUUUCGUCAGUUAAGUCUUUAAAAUGGUCAAUUGGUGUGAAUUUUGUUCAUUUUUUUCAAAUUUUACUUGAAUCUGCCCAAAGUUCGACCCGAACCAUUUUUGGGCUGAUUUAUGUGAAAUUUGGAAGGGAAAAAAAGGAAACUAAUUGACACCAAUUGACUACUUUAAGGUUCUAAUUGACAAAAAAACGAAUUUUAAAGAUGAUUUUGAUACUCGAUGGUAACAUGAAGGGAUAUAAGUGUCAUUCAACCAAUAAAAUUAUAAAUAAUGCAUGAAUUUAAGAAACAGCUUUCGAAGGAGGGUUAACAGUAUCAAAUGCAAUUAAUUAAAAUUAAAGAUGACCAUAUUUUUAUGUUAGGCCUCUUAAAUAUUGUUGGCUAUGCUAAGAUCAGAACUUGUGGUUAGUUUCUGAAUAUCUGAUUACAUUAACAUUUAGUUCAACGCACUUAAAAAGUCAAAACAAAUUUUGUAUUUUAAUUUCUCCUUUAUGAAACUUUACUGAUUUUUUUUAAAAUAAAGACAUUUUAAUGCGUCGGGUCGGGUCAAAAUUUAGUCGGAUUUCAGAAAAAUUGGGGAAAAGGAACGCAAUUGACAGAAAAUAUCACUUUAAAGACUCAAUUGACGCAAAAUAAAUUUUAAGAAUGAUUGUGAAAUUAGAUGACAACUUGGAGCGAUAACAAUGUGAUUCAGUCAUUUAUAUAUUAGUACUUCUUUUAUGGACACAAUAUCAUUUACAUUUUAUGGUGAUAUUGCCAGGUGCUUCCUAAGUAAUUCUUAUAUCUACGUGAUUACCUACACGGCUACACCAUAAUAUAUACAUGUGCCUGUGUUCUUUCUUGCAUGUGCUAUUAUAUAAUUUGAAAAUGAAAAGCUUGCUUUAUCUGAAGUAUGAGCAGCAUCAAUUUUUUUCUCAAACUAUGAAAUUAAAUAGGCUGAAUGACCCUUCUAAGUGGUCACUGGUGUCAAAAUCGUUCUUAUAUUUUAUUUUUUGUUUAAAUUGCUUCAAGUGAAAAUUGAAAAAGACAAAAAGAAAAAGGGAGAACAUAAUUGAUACCAAUUGACCACUUCUAUAAAUCAUAUUUAGAUAAGUAACUAUUAAUUUAUAGUAUGCAUACAUCAUAUUUCUCGUUUGGUGCAAGUACAGGAGCAACGUGUUGCAGUGGCUGCAGGCGACCUACGAUAGGCUCAGGAUGAAAAUUUUGCAGCAACACAACCUCUACAGGACGUGGAGGGUGUGAAUCUGUUUUAGUUUUUACAGGUUUGGAGGUGGUUUGGUGAUUAUGAUAUAGAUGCUUAUAACCAGCAUAUCUAUGACGGUACUGUUGGAGUAUGAUUAUUUGGGUCUAGUCAUAGUAUAAUUUAGUCUAUUUAAUGGUCCGGAUCUGAUAAUGGUCCAUAUGUAUUUAUUAUGACAGUGGAAGAGUCCUUAUUAAAAUAGGAUUGUGUUUCCUUAUUUGGAGGGAUACGGAGUCAUUUUCCUAGUUGGAUGCGGGUGGAAGUGACUUCUAUAUAUACGGCUACAUGCUAGGGUUGAAAAAAAGAGGAGGAGAAUAUGAUAGGGCACAAGAGUUACAACACAAAUACACAACUUGUACUCCCAAUAUUAUUAUAGUGGAUUUCUCUCUCUGUGGUUUUUUUCAAAUUGGGUUUCUACGUAAAUUCUUGUGUUCAUAUUUUAUAUCUUUUUAUUUAUGUUUAUGUGAAUGUAUUUCGUGAGUUUGAUUUCACAACAAUUACUUCAUCAAUCCUUGGCGCUAUUUUGGCCUACUAUUUUGGUUAAUUUUGUCAGGUGUACAAAAUCAGGCGUUAACAUUGGCGCCGUCUGUGGGAAACAAGACACUUGUUCUAGUGUCGAUUUAAAAUCACCGAUUUACCAAAGGAGAUAAAUGAUUCUUUUUUAUUAAAUUAAAUAUAUACUUGUACGUGUGUAUAUAUGUAUUAUGUCAAUAGCAAUUGAAGCAUGAUCGUAAUUGAUUAUUGAUACAACUUUACAUAUUCUCUCUCUUAUAUUAUGCAUGUAGUGGUAGUAUUCACAUGAUGCGUGUAAAAUCUAAACAUUAACACUUUGGUCCAGGUGAUGAUAAAUUGGUGCUGAGUCACCGCACCAGUAACGAAGUCAGCCGGCGCAGAGAUAAAAGUUUAAGCUUUUAUAUCAUUGAAGUGCUUUAAAGGCGGCUUCGGUUUCAUCAUCAACCACAGACUAAAGAAAAUUUCGAGGAUAAAAAUCCCGAAGAGACUUUUUGAAUACUCUCUUAUUUAUAAGUUCCUUAUAAAUAAAAGACCGGGGGGCAAUUAAAGUUCGUACUUUGUUGGACUUUUGGCGGCUCUCCCGUGACAUUUGGGCAACAACCCACUUCGAGCAACAACAAUUCUCUUUGGAUAAUUGUAGUUUGCCUCGAACUAUAUCACAUCGGCUUCAUCAUGUCUUCGGCUAUCUACAUUUGGGGAUUAAAGAUCGGAUGGCGGUAUAAGGUCAGGUAAACUUCUUUCGGGAUGGAUCAACGUCCUCCCCGAACGGAUAACUUCCUUCAGGACGGACCAUCGUCCUCCCGAUCGGACAAUAUCUUUCGGGACGGACCAUCGUCCUCUCGAUCGGACAAUAUCCUUCGGGACGGACCAACGUCCUCCCCAACGGUCAAACAUCCUUUGGGACAGGCCAUCGUCCUCCCGAACGGAUUACUUCCUUUGGGACGGACCGACGUCCUCUCGAAUGGACAACUUCCUUCUGGACGGACCAUCGUCCUCUCGAUCAGACAAUAUCCUUCGAGACGGACCAACGUCCUCCCGAACGGUCAAAAUAAACAUUUAUUUAGUUCUUCAGAAUGAAUACGUUUAGUUCUUCGGAACGAACUUUAUAAUUGGUGUUCGAUUGGAUGUGUUCGGUGGGUUAUUUAUUUAUCUUCAGUUGUGAUAAGGUUGGUUCUUUAUAUCUUCGGUAGUGAUAAGGUUGGUUCUCUAUAUAUUCGGUUGUGAUAAGGUUGGUUCUUUAUAUCUUCGGUUGUGAUAAGGUUGGUUCUUUAUAUCUUCAGUAAUGAUAAGGUUGGUUCGGUUGAUAUAAGGUUGGUUCUUUAUAUCUUUGGUAGUAAUAAGAGAAAUUGUUUAUCUAUCUUAUGAGUGAACAAGAGGAGUGGGGCGGCGAUAUUGGGAGCCAACAAUUUUAGUUUGGCACAUGGAGUUCAGGUGUGAUAUUUUGUCUUCGGCAAAUAUGGUCAUUUUGUUGGGAUAAAUUUGUAUACUCUCUCAUUUAUAAGUUCCUUAUAAAUAAGAGACUGGGGGGCAAUGUUGGAGUGUGAUUAUUUAGGUCUAGCCAUGGUGCAGCCCAGUCUAUUUAAUGGUCCGGAUCUGGUGAUGGCCCAUAUGUAUUUAUUAUGACAGUGGAAGAAUCCUUAUUAAAAUAGGAUUGUGUUUCCUUAUUUGGAGGGAUAAGGAGUCCUUCUCCUAGUUGGAUGCGGGUGGAGGUGACUUCUAUAUAUACGGCUACAAGCUAGGGUUGAAAAAAAGAGGAGGAGAAUAUGAUAGGGCACAAGAGUUACAACACAGAUACACAACUUGUACUCCCAAUAUUAUUAUAGUGG